AGUCGUAACAAGGUUUCCGUAGGUGAACCUGCGGAAGGAUCAUUAACGCGCAGGCCGGAGGCUGGCCCCCCACGAUAGGAAUCAACGUUCCAUCAGGGGUGUGCAGAUGUGCGCCGGUCUUACGCCCCAUUCUUGUCUACCUUACUCGGUUGCCUCGGCGGGCCGCGCUCUCCUGGGAGAGUCGUCCGGCGAGCCUCUUUGGGGGCUUUAGCUGGAUCGCGCCCGCCGGAGGACAGACAUCAAAAAAUCUUGGAAAGCUGUCAGUCUGAGCGUUAGCAAGUAAAAUUAGUUAAAACUUUCAACAACGGAUCUCUUGGUUCCGGCAUCGAUGAAGAACGCAGCGAAAUGCGAUAAGUAAUGUGAAUUGCAGAAUUCCGUGAAUCAUCGAAUCUUUGAACGCACAUUGCGCCCUCUGGUAUUCCGGGGGGCAUGCCUGUUCGAGCGUCAUUUCAACCCCUCAAGCCCGGCUUGUGUGAUGGACGACCGUCCGACCUCCUCUUUCGGGGGCGGGACGCGCCCGAAAAGCAGUGGCCAGGCCGCGAUCCCGGCUUCCUGGGCGAAUGGGCAGUCAAACCAGCGCCCUCAGGACCGGCCGCUCUGGCCUUCCCCCAAAUCUCUCUGAGAUAUUUUUUCAGGUUGACCUCGGAUCAGGUAGGGAUACCCGCUGAACUUAAGCAUAUCAAUAA
Molecule: unclassified non-coding RNA, 686 nt
Filed under: Trichophyton concentricum
Lineage: Eukaryota; Fungi; Ascomycota; Eurotiomycetes; Onygenales; Arthrodermataceae
Description: sequence contains 18S rRNA gene, ITS1, 5.8S rRNA gene, ITS2, 28S rRNA gene
Rfam family: 5.8S ribosomal RNA (bases 294-447)
Source: RNAcentral